This is a long non-coding RNA of Hordeum vulgare subsp. vulgare (domesticated barley), 1719 nucleotides long. RefSeq lists it as uncharacterized. NCBI's taxonomy places the organism in Eukaryota, Viridiplantae, Streptophyta, Magnoliopsida, Poales, Poaceae. The record is from RefSeq and is a predicted model, not a curated record. The transcript has 4 exons.
CGCCGUCGCGCCCGACGCCGAUGUUCGCUGCCUCCACGGCUGCGUCGCACCCCUCGACCCCGCCGCGGUCGACAAGCUUCGCGUCCGUCCCCCUCCUUCGCCCUCUCCCUCCUCCUCCUCCUCCUCUCUCUCCCUGCCUGAUUGAAACUCGAUCCCCGUCGCUCCCUCAUCGCCUACCCCGCGCCGCCGCCCUCGCUCCGGCCAGCUCUAGAGGCACCGCCGUGUGUCGCCUUCUCCGCGUCGCUGCUGCCUCGAGAUGCAGGCUCGGUGUGUGCGGCCGUCGGAAUCUGCCCCGUGAUUCGGCUGAAUCCCCUUGCUGGAUGCUGCCCCGUGAUGUAGCUUCAGUUUAUCUGGCAGGAGCUGAAGUCAGGUAACAAGCCACGUGUUGUUGGAAAAAGGACUCCACGAGUGCCUGUUGCAAGCAUGUACCACUGAGAUGACAAGAUAGGUCCAUCAAAUAGGCAAGCAAAACCAGACGCUAAUAAUGGUGAUGAGGAAGGUGAUCUAGCUGCUUUAGCUCUGGCAGAGGUCUAUCAAAGAGGCGGCUCGCCUCAGGUUUCUCAAGCAUCUGGAAGAUCUAGUGGCCAAAUGUUCCUGUCUCCUGGUAAAAGUAUCGACAGAAAAAAUGCAGAUUCAGAGAUGGGAAGUUCAAAGAUGCAUGGAUUUCAAGUAGAAGAUUAUCCGGAAGGUAGCUUAGGAAGGAGGGAAGCAGAGACUGGUGACUAUCGCAAAGAUGUUUCCUAUUUUCUGAAUAACGAAGGUUCUGCAUCUGGCAAGUCUAAGCCAAAAGUUAAGGAGAUGCAAAAGAUGCACAAAAAACAGACGAUCAAUUCGAGGAUGACAGAGAGGCUUGCAGUGGCACUGAACAAGGAUAUAGUUCCAGAAAGGCUAAAGAUGAAGCAGAUGUGGACGUAUUUUGAAGUAAAAUUUCAUGGCCAUCUAACAAAUCAAACAAAAGAAGCCGCCAACUAUUUUUUGGUCGUAUGCCUGUUCUAGCAACAUCUUUUAUUUUUUCACAGCAGUAAUGAAAUUAUUGAAAUACAAUCAUAGCAUUAUUUCUUCUAGGCUUCUAGCAUGGGUCAAACUAUUAGUAUGGUGGUUUAAGGGGCCUGAGUCUCAUCUUUUCUAAAGUUGUGCAGUGUUUUCUCAACUACUGAAUACAAUGCAGACAUCCGAACUAUCAAAUGCCAAUAGUAUUCAGCAAGAUGGACAAAUUGGUUGAGUUUCUUCUUAUACGUACAUCAUUUUCUCGACCAUCUGAUGAAAAAUAAGUAUGUCAUGUGUUGGCAUUGCCUAUCAUCAGUUUUUAUUUCAUAAUAUUUAUUCUCCUGUUGGGUUGUUGCAUCCUGCAAAUAAAAAGUCAAUCUACCUACAAACUUCCUCAGGAGGAUACCUUGUUGGAUUUCUUGCUUUGAUAUCUACAUAGCCCAAAAUCUUUGGUCCUGAUUGCCUGACUGGUCUUUGUUCUGCAGAUGAAUUGUCAGCUCUCGACGCAUUACAUACAUUAGCUGAUAUCUCUGUGAAUAUUCUACAACCUUCUUCUAUAGCUGAAUCUGGAUGAUCUGAAGCACCCAGAAGAAGUAGAGGACAGGUCAGGAGCUGGGAACAAGAAGCUUCGUUUAUCAUUGAUGUUAUGUGUGAUUAAUAAACACUUCUGCUUCUCAUCCAAUCUUUGUCGAACUAUGUUGAUGUGUGAUUAUGCACUUGUUGGGCCCUUUU